Molecule: long non-coding RNA, 413 nt
Filed under: Rattus norvegicus (Norway rat)
Lineage: Eukaryota; Metazoa; Chordata; Mammalia; Rodentia; Muridae
Description: long non-coding RNA NONRATT011172
Source: RNAcentral
AUGUGUCCUUUUGAUCACGGGAGUGACCCAGUCGUUGUAGAAGAUGUGAAUUUGCCAGGCAUGCUGCCUUUCCCAGCGCAGCCGCCUGUUGUUGAAGGACCACCUCCUCCUGGGCUGCCCCCACCUCCUCCAAUUCUGACACCCCCACCUGUGAAUCUUAGACCCCCUGUGCCACCUCCAGGUCCAUUACCACCCAGUCUGCCACCUGUCACAGGACCACCUCCUCCACUUCCUCCUUUGCAGCCAUCUGGCAUGGAUGCGCCACCUAACUCUGCGACCAGCUCUGUUCCUACUGUGGUGACAACCGGCAUCCACCACCAGCCUCCUCCUGCUCCACCCUCUCUCUUUACUGCAGAUACAUAUGAUACAGAUGGCUACAAUCCUGAAGCUCCAAGCAUCACAAACACUUCCAG